RNAcentral lists this ribosomal RNA (627 nucleotides) under uncultured fungus. RNAcentral's name for it is "eukaryotic LSU rRNA". It matches the Rfam family "Eukaryotic large subunit ribosomal RNA", at positions 24 to 664 of the family's 3401-position model. Lineage: Eukaryota; Fungi. The record is from RNAcentral.
CCCGCUGAACUUAAGCAUAUCAAUAAGCGGAGGAAAAGAAACUAACAGGGAUUGCCUCAGUAACUGCGAGUGAAGCGGCAACAGCUCAAAUUUGAAAUCUGGCUCUUUCAGGGUCCGAGUUGUAUUUUGGAGAAGAUGCUUCGGGGGUGGCUCCUGUCUAAGUUCCUUGGAACAGGACGUCAUAGAGGGUGAGAAUCCCGUACGUGACUCGUUGCGUUCGCGCUAUGUGAAGCUCUCUCGAAGAGUCGAGUUGUUUGGGAAUGCAGCUCAAAAUGGGUGGUAAAUUCCAUCUAAAGCUAAAUAUUGGCGAGAGACCGAUAGCGAACAAGUACCGUGAGGGAAAGAUGAAAAGCACUUUGGAAAGAGAGUGAAACAGUACGUGAAAUUGUUGAAAGGGAAACGCUUGAAGUCAGUCGCGUCUUCUGGAACUCAGCCGUGCUUCUGCUAGGCGCAUUUUCCAGUUUGACGGGUCAGCAUCGGUUUCGGUGGGCAGACAAAGGCGCAGGGAAGGUGGCCGCUCCGGUGGUGUUAUAGCCCUGCGUUGUAUGUGCCCGCUGGGACCGAGGAAUCCGGCUCGCGCCUGGGAUGCUGGCGUAAUGGCUCUAAGCGACCCGUCUUGAAACACGG